Molecule: long non-coding RNA, 1503 nt
Organism: Macadamia integrifolia
Lineage: Eukaryota; Viridiplantae; Streptophyta; Magnoliopsida; Proteales; Proteaceae
Exons: 2
Source: RefSeq, a predicted model, not a curated record
UCUUCUACAGUAAUGAAAUAUCAUGACCUCUCUUCUACAGUAAUGAAAUAUCUUCUUCUUCGCCUGAGGACAUAACACACCACCACAUCUGUGUGUAAACCUCGUUAAAUUUGUGUUGUGUGUGAAUCUGUGUCUUUGUUUUUUCCUUCGUAUUUGUUGGUGUUUGCUCUAAUACUUUUUUUUUUUCCACCUAAUCUUCCGUUCUCUCUUUGUUCGCAUUUUGUACACUAUGAAAUCCAGAGACCUUAGAAUUGGUAUUAAAGGUCAAGGCACAGCUAAGCUGAUUAAGAGACAAAGAGGGAAGAAAUCCUCUUCACCUUGCUGCAUCCAUAGGCUAUUAUGAUGGGUUGAUUGCAUUACUCAAUGUGGAUACUCUGCCCACCUAUGAAGUAGACCACAUUGGCCUCUACCCAAUUCACAUGGUAGCCUCUACUGGCCAUAUUAAAGUAAUACAAUUUCUCUUGGAACAUUGUCCCGGCUCUUGGGAGUUGCUCAACAAAAAAAGUCAGAAUAUUCUUCAUAUAGCUACUCAGAGUGGCAAGAAAAAUGUGGUGACAUAUAUUUUGAACAUACCAGUGCUUGAGCAGCUAAUAAACGAGAGGGAUGACAAUGGAAACACACCUUUGCAUCUGGCCACCAAAGGCUGGCGUUCUAAAGUUGUUGGUGUUUUGAGUAGGGAUCAAAGAGUGAAAACAUCUUGAACAACAAAAAAUUAUACAGCUCUAGAUAUUGCAGAGACGAAAGGCAUUAGAACAGUAGCAUCAUUUCGAAAGCAUUGAGGAUUGCAAAUGCUCCAAGUGCACGAGACGUAUACGAUGAUAAAGUCCGAUUAAAUUCAAGUGUCCGACAACCUACAACAGAAUUUUACAAGGACAAAGUUAACACUCUUUUGUUGGUGUCUACACUAGUUGCCACUAUAACCUUCACUGCAGGUUUUACAAUUCCUGGAGGUUUAAAUAGUGAUGGCCUUAACCAAGGCAUGGCGACAAUGCUAUCCAAUAACAAGUUUAAAGCUUUUGUCAUCUGUGAUACCAUAGCUAUGUAUUGUUCAAUUCUUUCUGUUUUAUCCCUCGUAUGGGCACAAAUAGGAGAUGUUCCUCUGAUGCGUUCUAUUAUUGAUUUUACAUUGCCAUUGUUGGGAAUUUCACUUACCAUGAUGAUUGUUGCAUUCACUGUAGGUCUAUACAUAGUUACCAGUAGACUUCAUUGGCUUGCCAAUGUUGUUUUGGUCAUGAGCAUAAUAUUCCUCAUAUGUAUCCUAGCCUUGUCAUUGCCACUUCGGAUGCCAAUUUGGUCACAAAAUUGCUUCUUUCAGAGGAUCUCUUAUUAUUUUCUCUAUCUGCUAGUGUCUGCAGCUGGGGGUGAUAGUGAUAGUGUUGAUGAUAUAACUACACGAGGAGGCGCCAAUUUGUUUACCAGAAGCAGAAUACCUGGAAUUAAUGAUUGAUGUUGUAUUAACUUGUUAUUGUAAUUGAUAAUCAAUAAUAAAUUUUCACUUUGGAA